Molecule: ribosomal RNA, 484 nt
Filed under: uncultured bacterium
Lineage: Bacteria
Description: partial 16S ribosomal RNA
Rfam family: Bacterial small subunit ribosomal RNA
Source: RNAcentral
AUUGAACGCUGGCGGCAUGCUUUACACAUGCAAGUCGAACGGCAGCGCGGGCUUCGGCCUGGCGGCGAGUGGCGAACGGGUGAGUAAUGCAUCGGAACGUGCCCAGUAGUGGGGGAUAGCCCGGCGAAAGCCGGAUUAAUACCGCAUACGACCUGAGGGUGAAAGCGGGGGACCGAAAGGCCUCGCGCUAUUGGAGCGGGCGAUGUCGGAUUAGCUAGUUGGUGGGGUAAAGGCUUACCAAGGCGACGAUCCGUAGCUGGUCUGAGAGGACGACCAGCAACACUGGGACUGAGACACGGCCCAGACUCCUACGGGAGGCCGCAGUGGGGACUUUUGGACAAUGGGGGCAACCCUGAUCCAGCCAUGCCGCGUGCGGUAAGAAGGCCUUCGGGUUGUAAACCGCUUUUGUUCGGGAAGAAAUCCUCUGGUCUAAUACCCCGGGGGAAUGACGGUACCGGAAGAAUAAGCACCGGCUAACUACGUG